GUGAACGCUGGCGGUAGGCCUAACACAUGCAAGUCGAACGGCAGCACAGUAAGAGCUUGCUCUUACGGGUGGCGAGUGGCGGACGGGUGAGGAAUACAUCGGAAUCUACUUUUUCGUGGGGGAUAACGUAGGGAAACUUACGCUAAUACCGCAUACGACCUACGGGUGAAAGCAGGGGAUCUUCGGACCUUGCGCGAUUGAAUGAGCCGAUGUCGGAUUAGCUAGUUGGCGGGGUAAAGGCCCACCAAGGCGACGAUCCGUAGCUGGUCUGAGAGGAUGAUCAGCCACACUGGAACUGAGACACGGUCCAGACUCCUACGGGAGGCAGCAGUGGGGAAUAUUGGACAAUGGGCGCAAGCCUGAUCCAGCCAUACCGCGUGGGUGAAGAAGGCCUUCGGGUUGUAAAGCCCUUUUGUUGGGAAAGAAAAGCAGCAGGUUAAUACCCCGCUGUUCUGACGGUACCCAAAGAAUAGGCACCGGCUAACUUCGUG
RNAcentral lists this ribosomal RNA (491 nucleotides) under uncultured bacterium. Its description in RNAcentral is "partial 16S ribosomal RNA". It matches the Rfam family "Bacterial small subunit ribosomal RNA", at positions 29 to 507 of the family's 1533-position model. The record is from RNAcentral.